RNAcentral lists this ribosomal RNA (500 nucleotides) under uncultured bacterium. Its description in RNAcentral is "partial 16S ribosomal RNA". It matches the Rfam family "Bacterial small subunit ribosomal RNA", at positions 899 to 1397 of the family's 1533-position model. The record is from RNAcentral.
ACUCAAAUGAAUUGACGGGGGCCCGCACAAGCGGUGGAACAUGUGGUUUAAUUCGACGCAACGCGAAGAACCUUACCUACCCUUGACAUGCUCGGAAUUUGCCAGAGAUGGUGAAGUGCCUUCGGGAACCGAGACACAGGUGCUGCAUGGCUGUCGUCAGCUCGUGUCGUGAGAUGUUGGGUUAAGUCCCGUAACGAGCGCAACCCUUGUCCUUAGUUGCCAACAGGUAAAGCUGGGAACUCUAGGGAGACUGCCGGUGACAAGCCGGAGGAAGGUGGGGAUGACGUCAAGUCCUCAUGGCCCUUACGGGUAGGGCUACACACGUGUUACAAUGGGCAGUACAGAGAGAAGCGAAGCCGCGAGGUGUAGCAAAUCUUUUAAAAGCUGUUCGUAGUCCGGAUUGGAGUCUGCAACUCGACUCCAUGAAGUUGGAAUCGCUAGUAAUCGCGGAUCAGAACGCCGCGGUGAAUACGUUCCCGGGCCUUGUACACACCGCCCGU